CAAGGGCUGGUCUUUGCCCACCAUCUUGUUUGAGACAGGGUCUCUUUCUGUUAGUUGCUGUGCAAUCCAGGCUAGCUUGCUGGUGAUUCCCCUGUCUCUGUUCCUCAUCUUGCUGUAGGAACACUGAGGUGACAGUGUUGCUACCACGCACAGCGCUGUGUGGAUGUUGGGGAUUGGAGCUUCCGUUCUUACGCUUGCGCAGCUUGUGCUUUAUGCACUCAGCGUCCCCUGCUGCAUUGUUGUACGUGUGCUGGUCUUUGUUAUCUGCUUCUUCUAGUGACAAAACUAGACACGCAUAAGGACUGUUUGGAGGCUUUUUCAGUAACUCAGUUAUUUAUCACACACAUUUAAAAGUGUCUACUCUGAAAGAUGAACAAAAUAAUGGUUUUAAGUACCAUCGUUGCCAAAUAUCUCAGAAACUUGUAACUUUAUUCUUUAAACAAAUGAUUGUGAACCACUAUUUGGAUGCCGGGAAUCAAACCCAGGUCCUCUGGAAAAGGCAGCCAGUUGUAAUAAGGUUGUGAUACGUUUCAGAAUCAUUUAUUUCCCUUAGCAUGGAUUAUUCUCUUUCUGGGUUUUGUUUUUUUUUGUUUUUUGUUUUUUGUAUUAUCUUUAAUUUCUAGCACUCCACUGACAACAUCAGCAGCUAUAAGAUAAAACGUAUACUAGAAAGGAUCAGAGAGAAAAAAAUGAGACGCUGGAGACAUGGCUUAGUGGUUAAGAGCACUGGCUACUUUUCCUGAGGACCCACGUUCAAUUCUCAGCACCUACAUGGUGGCUCACAAUUGCCUACAACUCUGGUCCUGCAUGUACACAGCACACUGACUCCAGCCAGAGCAGGGACUGUCAGAAUUCCUCUCAAGACUUCCUUUUUCUGCAUUUGCUUUGCUUUACACAACUGCUUUAGCAUAUAGAAAACUUGUUCCAAUGCCCAGUAAACUGUGUGUUAAUUCCUGGAGGCAUCUGAAUUAAGGUUUAAAUUAUUUGUUCCCUAGCCUAAGGCAGUUUUUUCACACUGGUUCACAUAAGUCUGGCAAGUAAAGUAGGCCUCACCAUAUCUGCCUGAUGCAUCCUUGAGAAUUAGAGGGGAGGGAGCAAUGAAAAGCCUUCAGAAAGCAUUUGCCAUAGUGAAGGUAUUUACUUGACAGCACCAAAGAAGUCAAGGUAUUGCCAUCAUUAGCUGACAUGUUAUCAAAUACAGUAUUGAGUCAGGAAAACAUUAACUUAUCUAACAGUAAAAAAACUCAGUGAAUCCCUUUGAUGGUGUAGUGAUUAGUAAUUCCUUUUCAGUUUUUUUUAAAUGAUCAUUAAGGGUAUUUUUAUAAGUUGUCACUAAUAUCCAGUCAUCCUAAUCACAUAGAGUUCCCGAAGUGAGAUUUUUAGUAAAUAUUCUCAUAGUCUUAAAAAUAAACUUUAAAAAAAUAGUAUAAUAUUUUUUGAAUAAAAACUUAAAAAAUUUGUAUAAAACAUUUUUGUUAAAUAUUGCUGACAAACUUUUAGGGAAACAGUUCCCUUCACAAUAGCCACAAAUAAUAUAAAAUAUCUUGGGGUAACGCUAACCAAACAUGUGAAAGACCUGUAUGACAAUAACUUCAAGUCUCUCAAGAAAGAAACUGAAGAAGAUCUCAGAAAAUGGAGAGAUCUCCCAUGCUCAUGGAUUGGGAGAAUUAACAUAGUAAAAAUGGCCAUCCUACCAAAGACAGUCUACAGAUUCAAUGCAAUCUCCAUCAAAAGCCCAACACAAUUCCUCAAAGACAUGGAAAUUUACAAAUCCAUCUGAAAACCUAGAAUAGUGAAAACAAUUCUUAACAAUAAAAGAACAGCUGGGGGAAAUCACCAUCCCUGACCUCAAGCUUUAACUACAGAACAAUAGUGAUAAAAACUGCUUGGUAUUGGUACAGAGAUGGAUAUGUUGAUCAAUGAAAUAGAGUUGAAGACCCAGAAAUGAAACCACACAUUUACCGUCACUUGAUCUUUGACAAAGACGCCAAAAAUAUACAAUGGAAAAAAGAAAGCAUCUUCAAUAAAUGGUGCUGGUCUAACUGACUGUAUGCAGAAGAAUGAAAAUAGACCCAUAUUUGUCACCUUGUACGAAGUUCAAGUCCAAGUGGAUCAAGGACCUCAACAUAAAACCAGAUACACAGAAUCUUAUAGAAGAGAAAGAGCACAGGAGGAAAUUUCCUAAACAGAACCCAAAUGGCUCAUGCUUUAAGAUCAAGAAAUGACAAAUGGGACCUCAUAAAACUGGAAAGCUUCUGUAAGGCAAAGAAUAUAGUUGAUAAGACAAAUCGGCAACCUACUGAUUCCCAAUUUUAACUAGCCCCACAUUUGAUAGAGGGCUAAUAUCCAAAAUAUAUAAAAACUCAAGAAGUUAAUCACCACAAAACCGAACAACCCAAUCC
RNAcentral lists this long non-coding RNA (2402 nucleotides) under Mus musculus (house mouse). RNAcentral describes it as "long non-coding RNA chr1:179986908-179989310". Lineage: Eukaryota; Metazoa; Chordata; Mammalia; Rodentia; Muridae. The record is from RNAcentral.